GUGAGGAAUAUUGGUCAAUGGGCGAGAGCCUGAACCAGCCAAGUCGCGUGAAGGAAGACGGCCCUACGGGUUGUAAACUUCUUUUGCAAUGGAAUAAAAAGAGUUACGUGUAAUUCAUUGUAUGUACAUUGCGAAUAAGGAUCGGCUAACUCCGUGCCAGCAGCCGCGGUAAUACGGAGGAUCCGAGCGUUAUCUGGAUUUAUUGGGUUUAAAGGGUGCGUAGGCGGAUUGGAAAGUCAGCGGUGAAAGUUUGCAGCUUAACUGUAAAAUUGCCAUUGAAACUGUCAGUCUUGAGUGCAAAUGAGGUAGGCGGAAUGUGUUGUGUAGCGGUGAAAUGCAUAGAUAUAACACAGAACACCAAUUGUGAAGGCAGCUUACUGGGAUGCAACUGACGCUGAGGCACGAAAGCGUGGGGAUCAAACAGGAUUAGAAACCCGGGUAGUCC
RNAcentral lists this ribosomal RNA (445 nucleotides) under uncultured bacterium. RNAcentral describes it as "partial 16S ribosomal RNA". It matches the Rfam family "Bacterial small subunit ribosomal RNA", at positions 354 to 796 of the family's 1533-position model. The record is from RNAcentral.